Long non-coding RNA from Salvia miltiorrhiza (redroot sage), 823 nucleotides. RefSeq lists it as uncharacterized. The record is from RefSeq and is a predicted model, not a curated record. The transcript is spliced from 3 exons. NCBI's taxonomy places the organism in Eukaryota, Viridiplantae, Streptophyta, Magnoliopsida, Lamiales, Lamiaceae.
AAAUCUUAGGAGGAAAGCUAAAUUUCCUUUCCUUUUUCCCUGCUAAGUGUCGUCCCCUACCCCCACAUUAAACCUCCAUUUUCUUAUAAGCUUCAGAGAGAUUAUUAAACCAUAUCAAAACUCAAUCAAGAACAUAUCAAGGUUCGAGUGGCUUUAUAAAGUGAACAAGCAAGGAUUUCUACUUCAUUAAGCGUAUCAGGAGCUUGUAUGUUACCAUCUACGAGAGAUAGACGAUAUCGGCCCUAUGCUGAAGCGAGAUGUCAGUAAGGGUUUGUGCACAUAGUUGUGACCGUGAGUCAUCGAGCGGGUUGGCCGGUCACUGAUCAGGAGCCUUCGGGCCGAUCACUGUGUUUGAGAAGGAGGCCUACUUCUCAACACAAGGUUACAUGAUGCGUAGUUAUGGUACAUACAUGUUAAUUGUCUGCAGACGUAUAUGAUGUUAUGAUGAUAUAUAUAUAGAAGUUUUACAGUUUUGGCAUGCACAGGUUAUUUAAAUAAAACUCCUGUGUGAUGCUUGAGAUGGCAAGUUCAAUAUAUAGCUCUAAGAGCAAGCUUUCAAGGUAUUUUGGCAUGUGACCAUUGAGUGCUUUUGAGUACUCAGCCCUACAUAUGUUUUCUAAAUGUGCAGGUUAAGCUGUGAAGCAGAUGGAAGCGAGCAGAGCAAAGUCUUGAUGUUAAUGUGUUAAAUUAGGCUCAGGAUUUCAUGUCCUCAUACAUGUAAUCCACUUGAGUUAUUUCCGCUCCCUUGUGAUUGUGAAAUAUUGUAAAGAGGUUAUUUAAAUAAGGCUGGUAGUUGCUAGAUCUGCCAAGCGUGACUUUAAAC